UACAGAGGUGGCGAGCGUUAUUCGGAAUUAUUGGGCGUAAAGGGCGCGUAGGCGGCUUGACAAGUCCCGGGUGAAAUCCCUCGGCUCAACCGAGGAACUGCCUUGGAAACUGUCUGGCUUGAGGCCGGGAGAGGGUAGUGGAAUUCCCAGUGUAGCGGUGAAAUGCGUAGAUACUGGGAGGAACACCGGUGGCGAAGGCGGCACCUGGACCGGUUCUGACGCUGAGGCGCGAAAGCGUGGGUAGCAAACAGGG
This 253-nucleotide ribosomal RNA is filed under the name uncultured bacterium. RNAcentral's name for it is "partial 16S ribosomal RNA". It matches the Rfam family "Bacterial small subunit ribosomal RNA", at positions 524 to 777 of the family's 1533-position model. The record is from RNAcentral.